CCCCCUCCAAAAGUAUUACAAACUAGACCGACUCCAUCUGUGCUUUUUGUCACAAAUAGUCUAAAACAUCAAAAAGUUCUUCUGCUUGUACUAAGACUUUCUGUUUACACCAAAAUAAUAAAGAGCUAUACAAUUCAUCUUGAAAUUCUGCAAAUUGUUCUUCUUGCCCUCAAAACAUCUUUGAUUCCUUUCUUUCCAUACUGUCCACCAUAUACAUGCUGGGACAAUCCUCCAUCUCUCCUCCUUAAUUGUAGUAUUGCCAAUAUUGAUCCAACAAUUUAGGAGUUGUGCUAUGUUUCUUGGUUUCACCCAAGUGAUCUUUCUAAGGCUGCUGAAUAUUCUCCAUAAUUGAUCUGUCCAUUUGCAAUGCAAAAAGAGAUGGUUGACUGUCUCUUCCUGUUCCUCACACAAAUAGCAUCUUGAGCAUAGUUGGAACUUCCUCUUCUUUAUAUUCUCUUGUGUCAGCACUGCUUCCUUUGCUAGUAACCAUGUGAAACAGUUUACCUUGUAUGGGAUUUUAGGUCUCCAUAUCAUCCGCCAUGGCCAUAGCUCCAUCCUAUCAUUUGAAUUUGAUUGAUUAAGAUCUUUGUAAGCUGACUUGACACUGAAAACCCCUUUGCUACCAAUCUUCCACACAACCUUGUCUUCUUCCCUAGUCAAAUUGCUAAAUUGUGCCAGUGUAUCAUGGAAGGCCACUAUGUUCCCCAUCUCCCAAUCAUUUAGAUUCCUCCUAAGAUGUAAGUUCCACCCCUGUCCUGUCCACAUUUCAGCCACAGUUGCAUUUUGUUGAAGGCUUAGUGUAUAUAAGUCUAGGAAUAAUUGUUACAGGGUUCUUUGGGCUACUAGUGUAUAUAAGUCUGGGAAUAAUUGUUUCAGGGUUCUUUGGGCUAUCCAUCUGUCCUCCCAAAAUGACACCUUCAUUCCAUUACCCACCUGGAAUCUGAUUCUAGAAAGAAACAGAGGCCAAAGAUUUCUUAUUGAUCUCCAGAUACCACAUCCAUAUGGUGUAGUUACCAUCUUUGUCAUCCACCUAUUCUCCAUUUCAUAUUUUGCCCUGAUCACCUCUCUCCAUAGCAUAUUCUCUCCUGUCAUAAACUUCCAAAGCCAUUUUAGCAUUAGGCUUUUGUUUUGUUUCUUCACGUUCCUGAUCCUAGUCCCCCCUCUUUCUUAUUUUUUAUGACCUCUUCCCACUUGACUAGAUGAAACUUCUUUUUAUAUUCAUUUCCCUGCCAAAAAAAAAUUCUUCUCAAAGCAUCUAUCCUCUGUAUGACAUUGUCUGGUGCUGGGAACACAGACAUCAUAUAAGCAGGUAUUGCAUCUAGCACACUAUUAACCAUGGUUAAUCUACCUUCCCUAGACAGAUAUUGGCUCUUCCAGUUGGUAAGCUUCUUUUCGCAUUUUUCUAUCACUCCAUUCCAUAUCCUUAUUGAUUUGCUCUUUCCCCCCAAUGGCAUACCUAGGUAUAUGGUUG
RNAcentral lists this long non-coding RNA (1471 nucleotides) under Solanum tuberosum (potato). RNAcentral's name for it is "long non-coding RNA (STUB_LNC004730)". The record is from RNAcentral. Lineage: Eukaryota; Viridiplantae; Streptophyta; Magnoliopsida; Solanales; Solanaceae.